This 238-nucleotide long non-coding RNA is filed under the name Elaeis guineensis (African oil palm). Its description in RNAcentral is "long non-coding RNA (EGUI_LNC022913)". The record is from RNAcentral. Lineage: Eukaryota; Viridiplantae; Streptophyta; Magnoliopsida; Arecales; Arecaceae.
UUUGAUCUGUUGGAAUGUCGAAGCUAUAAGUAAUAUUCUUUCCAAUUUCAGAGUCUCCUUUAUGCAAGUAGGGCUUGCACUCAUUGGGAAGAUCUUAUAAGUUUUGACAUUCAUUUUUUAUGCAAGAAUCUUGACUCUCUGCCUGAGGUGAUUGAAGUUACUAUGGGUCUCUAUACUUAUGAAGUUAAGCUAUGCUGCCCUCACAAUCCCUCAGAGAAUCUCAGCUUCUCCUAAAAUG